Molecule: unclassified non-coding RNA, 256 nt
Filed under: Hevea brasiliensis (rubber tree)
Lineage: Eukaryota; Viridiplantae; Streptophyta; Magnoliopsida; Malpighiales; Euphorbiaceae
Source: RNAcentral
GUCAUUUGUCUUAACAAAAUUUGAAACUUGAUAUUCUUGCAUACUGAUAUUUAAUUUUGUUGCUGAACUUUAAUUGCAACAAUGCUAUUUCCUAACGGUGUGACUAGCUUACAGCUUGAUGCUAGGACUUCCGAAAUUUGAGACAAUGAACCAUGAAGCCAAUAGUUGAGUUCUUGGCUAAAUGGUUUUUAGCAGUUACUUAAUGUAAGGAUGUAAAGUGUGUCCUGGUAGCAGUAAUGGCAUUAGCAGCAGUACA